RNAcentral lists this ribosomal RNA (913 nucleotides) under uncultured marine archaeon. RNAcentral describes it as "bacterial SSU rRNA". It matches the Rfam family "Archaeal small subunit ribosomal RNA", at positions 1 to 920 of the family's 1478-position model. The record is from RNAcentral.
UUCCGGUUGAUCCUGCCGGAGGCUACCGCUAUUGGAGUUCGAUUAAGCCAUGCGAGUCGCGAGUCUUAGGGACUCGGCGUACCGCUCAGUAACACGUGGGUAACCUGCCCUAUGCUGGGGGAUAACCUCGGGAAACUGAGAAUAAUACCCCAUAGUUCACCACGCCUGGAACGGUGGGUGGACCAAAGCUCCGGCGGCAUAGGAUGGGCCUGCGGCGUAUCAGGUUGUAGGGGGUGUAAUGUACCCUCUAGCCCUCUACGCGUACGGGUGUUGAGAGACAUCGCCCGGAGAUGGAUUCUGAGACACGAAUCCAGACCCUACGGGGUGCAGCAGGCGCGAAAACUUGGCAAUGCGAGAAAUCGUGACCAGGGAACUCCAAGUGCAUCGGGUAAGACCGAUGCUUUUCUUGACUCUUCAAAGGUCUUGGAAUAAGGGGUGGGUAAGGACGGUGCCAGCCGCCGCGGUAAUACCGGCGCCCCAAGUGGUAGUCGCUUUUAUUGGGCCUAAAACGUCCGUAGCCGGUCUGGUACAUUCGUGGGUAAAUCAACCAGCUCAACUGGUUGAAUUCUGCGAGCACGGCCAGACUUGGGACCGGGAGAGGUGUGGGGUACUCUCAGGGUAGGGGUAAAAUCCUGUCAUCCUGAGAGGACCACCUGUUGCGAAGGCGCCACACUAGAACGGAUCCGACGGUCAGGGACGAAGCCUAGGGGCACGAACCGGAUUAGAUACCCGGGUAGUCCUAGGUGUAAACGCUGUGGACUUGAUGUUGGGGGCGCUCCGAGCGCACUCAGUGUCGAAGCGAAGGUGAUAAGUCCACUGCCUGGGGAGUACGGUCGCAAGGCUGAAACUUAAAGGAAUUGGCGGGGGAGCACCGCAACCUGAGGAUUGUGCGGUUUAAUUGGAUUCAACGCCG